RNAcentral lists this ribosomal RNA (414 nucleotides) under uncultured microorganism. Its description in RNAcentral is "bacterial SSU rRNA". It matches the Rfam family "Archaeal small subunit ribosomal RNA", at positions 330 to 745 of the family's 1478-position model. The record is from RNAcentral.
GUGCAGCAGGCGCGAAACCUCCGCAAUACACAAAAGUGUGACGGGGCCAUCCCGAGUGCCGUCCGCUGAGGACGGCUUUUCCCCAGUGUACACAGCUGGGGGAAUAAGGAGAGGGCAAGCCUGGUGUCAGCCGCCGCGGUAAUACCAGCUCUCCGAGUGGUGGGGACGCUUAUUGGGCCUAAAGCAUCCGUAGCCGGCUGGGCAAGUCCUCCGUUAAAUCCAACGAUUCAAUCGUUGGGCUGCGGGGGAUACUGUCCAGCUUGGGGGCGGGAGAGGCCGACGGUAUUCCCGGGGUAGGGGUGAAAUCCUAUAAUCCCGGGAGGACCACCAGUGGCGAAGGCUGUCGGCUAGAACGCGCCCGACGGUGAGGGAUGAGAGCUGGGGGAGCGAACCGGAUUAGAUACCCCCGGUAGU